UCAAGUUAUGAUCCCAAUGCUAAUGCAUAUGAUUAGAUAACAUGAGGUAUCUUAGGGUCAAAAUUAGGGUCUUACACUAGGUCAAACAAGGUCAAAGGACCUUAGACAAAAAAAAUCAUGAUUUUUGAAAAGUCAGAAGUAUUUUUAAACAAUUUUAAAUAUACAAAAAAACAAUUAAUUCAUGAAAAAUAUCAAAAUUAAUCCAAAAAAUAAUUUUAAUUCAGAAAAUGGAAGAGGAAAAUAUUUAAAGAUUUUUUGUGAAAGUCCCAUAUUUUUUGG
This 279-nucleotide long non-coding RNA is filed under the name Lathyrus oleraceus (garden pea). RNAcentral describes it as "Pisum sativum (pea) long non-coding RNA (PSAT_LNC029695)". The record is from RNAcentral. Lineage: Eukaryota; Viridiplantae; Streptophyta; Magnoliopsida; Fabales; Fabaceae.